This is a long non-coding RNA of Meriones unguiculatus (Mongolian gerbil), 555 nucleotides long. RefSeq lists it as uncharacterized. NCBI's taxonomy places the organism in Eukaryota, Metazoa, Chordata, Mammalia, Rodentia, Muridae. The transcript has 3 exons. The record is from RefSeq and is a predicted model, not a curated record.
ACACCUGGGGGAGACCAAGGAGGUCACAGAGAGCCACUCAGAGCCAGCCUCAUGAGUCUCCUCGUGUCUGUAGGCACGGAGUAGUGGGACAGCCUAUAUUCUCAGCGCCUGCCCCUGGGAAUUUCAUCCGAUGAUGACCUCAGCCAUCAUGCCCAACUGAGUUGUCUGAGCCGUCACGGAAGAUUCUGGAAACACAGUGCAAGGAAACAGCCUCUUCCCUAUCCUGCCUCUUCUUCCCUAUUCUCUCUUUCAUUUCCAUCAACCAGCACCACAAGGCAACACAGCCUUGACUUCCGUACAGUUGUCCUGAGUGAAGCUGCCAAUGCCUGGAGAUGAUGCACCUGAAACCCACUGAAAGAGACAACUGGGUUCACGGUCUCCUAACUCGAAAUGCUCGGCUCCAGCUGUGCCUGAAAACUCAGAAUGUUCCGGAUUUUAGAAAGGCAUUUUAGAGAUGCACAAACACUGUGUUAUCUUUAACACCUGUUUGAGCGUGAUGCUACUUCUACAGCAAAAUGUUUGUGUGUUCACAAUGGAUGCAAUGAAGCCCGUACC